UCCUGAUCAGCAAGGCUUCUUGGUAUGUGCUUGAUUAUGUCUACAUUUUUUUGAGGCAGCCUUUAUAUAUUUAUUUCGGUGUAGAUUGAAGAUGUCUUUUCUAGUAACUCAAUUUUGAUGGUCUUUCUUUACUUGCUGGGUUUCUCUUUCUGUGUCUCUUGGUAAAUAGUAGAUGGAAGUAUUAUUGUGAGGUAGGUGUCAUUUGUAAUGACUGAUAAAACAUAGUGUUUGUUUUG
Molecule: unclassified non-coding RNA, 236 nt
Filed under: Hevea brasiliensis (rubber tree)
Lineage: Eukaryota; Viridiplantae; Streptophyta; Magnoliopsida; Malpighiales; Euphorbiaceae
Source: RNAcentral